Molecule: ribosomal RNA, 1456 nt
Filed under: uncultured bacterium
Lineage: Bacteria
Description: bacterial SSU rRNA
Rfam family: Bacterial small subunit ribosomal RNA
Source: RNAcentral
UGAGUUUGAUCAUGGCUCAGGAUGAACGCUGGCGGCGUGCCUAAUACAUGCAAGUCGAACGGACCACUUCGGUGGUUAGUGGCGAACGGGUGAGUAACACGUGGGUAACCUACCUAUAAGUUGAGGAUAACAGUUGGAAACGACUGCUAAUACUGAAUAGUAGUAGAUAAGGCAUCUUAACUACUUUAAAGAUUAAUCGCUUAUAGAGGGGCCCGCGGCGCAUUAGUUAGUUGGUGGGGUAAAAGCCUACCAAGACGAUGAUGCGUAGCCGGACUGAGAGGUUGACCGGCCACAUUGGGACUGAGACACGGCCCAAACUCCUACGGGAGGCAGCAGUAGGGAAUUUUCGGCAAUGGAGGAAACUCUGACCGAGCAACGCCACGUGAAUGAAGAAGUACUUCGGUAUGUAAAGUUCUUUUAUGAGGGAAGAAGCAAGUGACGGUACCUCAUGAAUAAGCCCCGGCUAACUAUGUGCCAGCAGCCGCGGUAAUACAUAGGGGGCGAGCGUUAUCCGGAAUUAUUGGGCGUAAAGGGUGCGUAGGCGGUUAUUUAAGUUUAGGGUGUAAGUGCAGUGCUUAACGCUGUGAGGCUCUAAAAACUGGGUAACUAGAGACAGAUAGAGGCAAGUGGAAUUCCAUGUGUAGCGGUAAAAUGCGUAAAUAUAUGGAGGAACACCAGUGGCGAAGGCGGCUUGCUGGGUCUUGUCUGACGCUGAUGCACGAAAGCGUGGGGAUCAAACAGGAUUAGAUACCCUGGUAGUCCCCCCCGUAAACCAAGAAUACUAGGUGUUGGGGUAAACUCAGUGCGGUAGUUAACGCAAUAAGUAAUCGGCCUGAGUAGUACGUGCGCAAGCAUGAAACUCAAAGGAAUUGACGGGCUCCCGCACAAGCGGUGGAUCAUGUUGUUUAAUUCGAGGAUACGCGAAGAACCUUACCAGGUCUUGACAUACUCUGCGAAGUCUUGGAAACAAGUACGGAGGUUAACAGAUGUACAGGUGGUGCAUGGUUGUCGUCAGCUCGUGUCGUGAGAUGUUGGGUUAAGUCCCGCAACGAGCGCAACCCCUAUUGCUAGUUACCAUCAUUAAGUUGGGGACUCUAGCGAGACUGCCAGUGAUAAACUGGAGGAAGGUGGGGAUGACGUCAAAUCAUCAUGCCCCUUAUGACCUGGGCUACAAACGUGAUACAAUGGCUGUUACAGAGGGUGGCGAAGCAGUGAUGUGGAGCAAAUCCUAAAAAAGCAGUCUCAGUUCGGAUUGAAGUCUGCAACUCGACUUCAUGAAGCCGGAAUCGCUAGUAAUCGCGAGUCAGCAUAUCGCGGUGAAUACGUUCUCGGGGGUUGUACACACCGCCCGUCAAACCACGAAAGUCAGCAAUACCCAAAGCAGGUGGCCUAACCGUAAGGAGGGAGCCUUCUAAGGUAGGGUUGAUGAUUGGGGUUAAGUCGUAACAAGGUAUCA